RNAcentral lists this ribosomal RNA (254 nucleotides) under uncultured bacterium. RNAcentral's name for it is "partial 16S ribosomal RNA". It matches the Rfam family "Bacterial small subunit ribosomal RNA", at positions 524 to 776 of the family's 1533-position model. The record is from RNAcentral.
GACAGAGGCCUCAAGCGUUAGGCGGAAUCACUGGGCUUAAAGCGUGUGUAGGCGGAUCGUUAAGUGUCUUGUGAAAUCCCACGGCUCACCCGUGGAACUGCUGGGCAUACUGGCGAUCUUGGGCCAACUAGGGGCAACUGGAACAAGCGGUGGGGCGGUGAAAUGCGUAGAUAUCGCUUGGAACGCCAAAGGUGAAAACAGGUUGCUGGGGUUGUGCCGACGCUGAGACACGAAAGCCAGGGGGAGCAAACGGG